Molecule: non-coding RNA, 1388 nt
Organism: Physcomitrium patens
Lineage: Eukaryota; Viridiplantae; Streptophyta; Bryopsida; Funariales; Funariaceae
Source: RefSeq, a predicted model, not a curated record
AAGCGGCUCCACUGCCAAAUACAGUCAAGAUCUAUGGUCUAACACCAAUACAAACUACAUAGAUUUUACUACUGAUAUGCGACUCUCUAACCAACAACCAUUUUUCUUUCUAUUUGUUGUUGUUUAAUUACAUAUUUUUCAUAUGCUUCGUAAAAUAUCAAAGAGUCGUUAUCUUUGUGCUAGUAACUGUUGGGUAACAUUUAAAAAACUCACAACCACUAUUUGAACUGCCAACUUUUUGAUACCAACCUGUCAUUUUGCGGUGGUUUAAGAUAGUUGCAGACCAUUUUCAAUUUUAAUGUUGAUAUUAAUGACAUCGUCCCUUAACCCACAAACACAGACCUCGCAUUUAGCAAUCCAAAUCAAGCAUUCAUCCAUUAUUAGAACCAGGGCAGCAACAUCAGAGUGACUGUCAAGCAAGCGUCAUCACCAGUGCUUCGAACAGAAUCCAGUGACCAUUUCUUCAUGAAACAGCAAGAAUGUUGUGUAAUCUCUCUCCAGUUGGUUCUCAGGUUACGACAUUAUUUAAUAAACCCAAGACACAAACUUGCACCCAGCAAGACCAAACCCUAACGGGCAGUGAACACAAAAGCAGCAUUGUAGACGCACAUUAGGGCCUAGUUUUUCGUAAGGUUAAAAGUGAUGGUUUUCUCACCUCGGUGGCUGACAAGAUGCUGCCGUUGCUACAUCAGCAGCGAUGGAGUCCAAUUGGGGCAGGCUCAUGGAGAAGGUGGGUGCUGUUGUUGUUGCAGUCUGUUAAAAUAUCGGCUAACUGCUGCAGCGUGACAGGCCGUUCGGUUGCCACUUCCAGACUCAUCCUUCAUUAAGCUCCAGGUACAGUACCGUUCGUGACGGUGUGGCUGACUCUUCCAGUACGUAGGGUUAUGGUUCCGUGAUGCUGCAGUUGCAAAUGAUUCACGUAGAGUCUGGAUCAGAGGAUGUGGCACUCUGGGUUGUUGUGGAUCUUGUAUUUUGAGGGCUUUUAACUUGGUUUAAAGUCUGUGAACGGCAACAGCUGAAAGGCUGCUGCUGUAAAUCCUAAUUCUACCGCGAGCCCCACCUUGGCAGGGCGCACGAUCUCAUUAUUGGAGCGUAGGUGACAUCUGAGCUUCCUGCUGCUAGCCUCACAAUCUUUGAUACUGACUUGCAUGGAGAUGAUGAUCAUUCAACACUUCCCCAUGCCCCGCCAUUGUCGCUGCUCCUUUGCUGUCUUGUCCCCGGAUCCUGAGGGGUCUCUCCUUUGAUCCACCGGCACUAUGUCAUUGUCGUCGAGGGUGGCUUCCAGACACUAUCGUGGAAAGUUCUCCUUCAAUUUGCUUAAUGUUCGAUUAUAUAUAUAUUUAAAACACAUGAAUAAAAUAUCGAGCAUGAUUCGAGCUAGCAGCUAA